GCCUGGCUGGCUCAGUCGGUAGAGCAUGCGACUCUUGAUUUCAGGGUUGUGAGUUCGAGCCCCAUGUUGGGGG
Felis catus (domestic cat) is the source of this 73-nucleotide non-coding RNA. The record is from Rfam. Lineage: Eukaryota; Metazoa; Chordata; Mammalia; Carnivora; Felidae.